This 106-nucleotide small nuclear RNA is filed under the name Trifolium pratense (red clover). The record is from RNAcentral. Lineage: Eukaryota; Viridiplantae; Streptophyta; Magnoliopsida; Fabales; Fabaceae.
GCCACUACCUUUGAGGACAUCCAAUAAAAUUGAAAUAAUACGGUAAAAAUUAGCACGACCCCUACGUAAGAUGACACUAGCUCCCAAAAAUAUGUAUUUUUUUUUU